RNAcentral lists this ribosomal RNA (253 nucleotides) under uncultured bacterium. RNAcentral's name for it is "partial 16S ribosomal RNA". It matches the Rfam family "Bacterial small subunit ribosomal RNA", at positions 524 to 776 of the family's 1533-position model. The record is from RNAcentral.
UACGUAGGGUGCGAGCGUUAAUCGGAAUUAUUGGGCGUAAAGCGCGCGCAGGCGGUCCUUUAAGUCUGAUGUGAAAGCCCUCGGCUCAACCGAGGAAGGUCAUUGGAAACUGGAGGACUUGAGUGCAGAAGAGGAAAGUGGAAUUCCAAGUGUAGCGGUGAAAUGCGUAGAGAUUUGGAGGAACACCAGUGGCGAAGGCGACUUUCUGGUCUGUAACUGACGCUGAGGCGCGAAAGCGUGGGGAGCAAACAGG